AGUGAACGCUGGCGGUAGGCCUAACACAUGCAAGUCGAACGGCAGCACAGUAAGAGCUUGCUCUUACGGGUGGCGAGUGGCGGACGGGUGAGGAAUACAUCGGAAUCUACUUUUUCGUGGGGGAUAACGUAGGGAAACUUACGCUAAUACCGCAUACGACCUACGGGUGAAAGCAGGGGAUCUUCGGACCUUGCGCGAUUGAAUGAGCCGAUGUCGGAUUAGCUAGUUGGCGGGUAAAGGCCCACCAAGGCGACGAUCCGUAGCUGGUCUGAGAGGAUGAUCAGCCACACUGGAACUGAGACACGGUCCAGACUCCUACGGGAGGCAGCAGUGGGGAAUAUUGGACAAUGGGCGCAAGCCUGAUCCAGCCAUACCGCGUGGGUGAAGAAGGCCUUCGGGUUGUAAAGCCCUUUUGUCGGGAAAGAAAAGCAGCAGGUUAAUACCCCGCUGUUCUGACGGUACCCAAAGAAUAAGCACCGGCUAACUUCGUG
Molecule: ribosomal RNA, 491 nt
Filed under: uncultured bacterium
Lineage: Bacteria
Description: partial 16S ribosomal RNA
Rfam family: Bacterial small subunit ribosomal RNA
Source: RNAcentral